This 40686-nucleotide long non-coding RNA is filed under the name Malus domestica (apple). RNAcentral describes it as "long non-coding RNA (MDOM_LNC007888)". The record is from RNAcentral. Lineage: Eukaryota; Viridiplantae; Streptophyta; Magnoliopsida; Rosales; Rosaceae.
CUGCAAUGGAUACCAGCAGCUCCGCCCAUGGAGCUGGCUCUGCCGCCUCUUCGUCUUCUUCGCAGAGCUCAAACCGCUGGAAGUACGAGGUGUUCCUGAGCUUUAGAGGCGAAGACACCCGCAACACUUUCACAGACCACCUCUUCAUUGCGUUACGCAAUGCUGGAAUUAACACGUUUAUAGACAACCAGCUCACAAGGGGGGAAAACAUACAGAGUGAACUUGACCAAGAAAUCGAAGGGUCGAGAAUCGCUGUCAUCGUCUUCUCGAAGGAGUACGCGGAGUCCCGGUGGUGCCUGAGGGAGCUGUCAAAGAUCAUGAGGUGCCUAAAAGAUCAAGAGGGGAAAAUCGUCUGUCCAAUAUUCUACGACGUUGACCCUUCUCAAGUCAGGAAACAGGAAGAUAGUUUUGGGGAAGCAUUUCAGAAGCAUGAAACGACUGAAGAUCCAAAUGAGGUCAAGCAGUGGAGAGAGGAUCUGAAGGCUUCUGCAGAUUUGGGCGGCUGGAAUCUCAAAACCACGGCCGACGGGUAUACUUUUUUGUUUACUUCAAAUUUCAUAUCACCAUGUUUCAUCAAAUUUCAUAGGGAUUUUUGUACUUUAAUCCUUCAAGAAGAUUAAAAUUUAAUAAAAAGCUAGUGUUAGAUUGAAUAUUGAUUUUAGUCCCUUAAUGUGUAAUUAAUUCAAAUUCAUAUUAUAUUUUUAAUUUUAUAUUUAAUAGAUAACUUAUUUAAUGUUAUUACUUUAAAUUUUAUAUUUGUUAUUAUAAACAUUUUAAUUCACUAAUUUUAUUUAACUUUCUCUAAUUAGUGUACCUAAACGUCUGUAUCAUAAUAUAUUUUACUAAAUUAGUGUACCGAAAUGUCCGUACAUAAAUAUAUAUAGUGAAUUAGUGACACAUAAGAAAAUAUGUAAAAACAUAAGUUUACCGAAAAUUCCGUACCUAACUAUAUGAUACGAAACUAGUGUAUUGAAAUAUCGGUACCUAAAUAUAUUAUACUAUACUAGUGUACCGAAAUAUCUAUACCUAAACAUAUUAUACUAACCCAAUCGAAACCAAUCGAAAUGUUCGUACCUAAAUAUAUUGUAAUGAAUUAAUGGCAGAUAAGAAAAUAUGCAAAAACAUAAGUGUACCAAAAAAUCUCUACGAAAAUAUUUUCUUAUAUAAGAUGCUUACCAUAAUGAAAAUUAAAAUUUAUAAUAUUUUCAUAAAAUUUAAAUUCAUAAAAUUAUAAAUAAAAAAAGAGACAUUGAAUACAUAAAUAGAGUCAAGGGACUAAAAUCAAAUUUUAAGCUUGUAUAAGACAUUUUUCUAAAUUUCAUUUUAUUUAGGGAUUAAAAUCUAGUUUCCUAAAUUUCAUAUCACUAUGUUUCACUAAUCAACCAAAAUUAAGAUAUUGUAAGUAAGGCAUUGAAUCUGAUUUAUAUGUUAGAGAAGAAAAAUUGGAUCAUUGGUCCCUGAACUAUGAUAGAAGUGUAAUUUUGGUCACUACAUAAAAAUUUAUUACAAUUGGUAUAUGAAUUUUAUAAAAGGUAGAGCAUUUGCAUAUGAAUUUCUGUCAAAAUUAAGGAAGUGAAACGGAGGGUACAUGCUUCGUUUUUUAUGGGUGUGUGAAGAACAAAUGCUCCACACUUUAUCAAAUUAAAAUACCAAUUGUAAUGGAUUCUUAAUUAUAUAAUUGAAAGCUACAAUUGUGUAAUAGUCCAAUGACCAGUGACCUAAUGUAUUCAUGUUAUAAUUGAAGAAUAAAUACGUGGUUGAAUUGAGCUCAGUAAAUCACAAUUUAUUCAAACCUGUUUCAAUACGUAAAUAUAUAGUCAUGAUGAAUAAGGCAUCUAGUAUGGCUCUCGUAAUUUGGAAUUUCUACUUGUAGCCGUGAAGGAGUGUUUAUCGAGAAAAUUAUUGGGGACAUCAAGGGACUAUUGAAACCCACAGACUUAAAAGAAGCCAAACACUCAGUUGGAAUAGCUUUUCGCAUGCAAGAAUUCAACACUAAAUACUUAGACAUUGUGGGUUCACCUGAUGUUCAAAUAAUUGGAAUUUGGGGUACAGGCGGUAUAGGUAAAACAACGCUUGCCAAAGAGAUUUGUAGUAAAUAUGGUCAUAGUUUCAGCAAUCAAUGUUACCUUGAAGAGGUGAGGAGUAACAAGAAAAAUAUGGUUAGUCUGCAAGAACAACUUCUUCGAGAUCUUUUGAAACGGCAUGACAUUAAGGUAAGCAGUGUUGCUGAAGGAACCAAGGAGAUAGAGAAAAGACUUGGAAGCAUGAAGGUACUUGUCGUGGUUGAUGACAUAGAUGAUGCGGACCAAUUAGAUAAAUUGGCGAUAUCACAUGUCUCGUUUGGUCCCGGAAGUAGGAUUAUUAUAACAACAAGAGAUGAACAUGUGUUGAAUAUACAAAAGGUGGAUAAAAGAUAUAAAGCACAAGGAAUGACUAAUGACGAAGCUUUUGAGCUCCUUAGUUGGCAUGCCUUUGGAAAUCCUCGUCCCGACGAAGAAUAUAUUGAGCUCGCAAGAGAUGUUGUUGAUUAUUGUGGAGGACUGCCUCUAGCUCUUGAAGUUGUUGGCCGUUUGUUGGCUACGAAAAAGAGUAAAAGCAUAUGGAAAAGUACAUUGGAAAAUUGAAAAAUAUUCCUGAUAGAAAAAUUCAUGAAACGCUUAAAUUAAGCUACGAUGGGCUACGUGAUGAUCAUGUGAAGGGUGUGUUCCUUGACAUAUCUUGUUUCUUUCUUGGAUGGGGUAAACUUCUUGUCACGGCAAUAUUGGAUGGUUGUAGUCGUUUUUCUGUAGAAGCAGAAAUUACCACACUUUGCGAACGAUGUCUCUUAUAUAUUGAUGUAGAGAAAAAUUUGAGGAUGCAUGAUUUGAUUCGAGAUAUGGGAAGAGAAAUUUUGCGGGCAGAAUCUUCUGUGGAAUUGGGAAAACGUAGUCGAUUGUGGCAUAGUGAAGAUGCAAAAACCGUGCUUAGGAACAAAUUGGUAAGUACUUUUGCAAUAAAUUUUUUUUUUGUUAAGUACAUGUAAAGAAAGAGUAUAUACGCAUAUCCGCAUAUAUAUAAUGUAUGACGUGCAUAGUAUAUUUGAAGAAAAAGAAGAAAAGAAAAGGCUUUCAUCCACUGUAAAUUGAAAGAGAAAAUACAUAAUUAUGUUGUAUGUCCUACCUUUCUAGUAGUUCAUUCAUCCAAUUCACGGCUCUGCUUUGUGUGAAUAUUAUCCUUUUUUUUUAUCUGUAACAGGGAACAGAAGCAGUUGAAGGCCUAACCUUAUUUUUGCCAAAAGAUUCUGAUGACGAGCAAAGCUUCAGUACGAAGCGUUUAAGAAGAUGUGGCGUCUGAAAUUUCUCAAGCUGGAAAAUGUAAAGUUGACUGGAAGCUACAAACAUCUUUCCAAGGAGUUAAGAUUGUUGUAUUGGGAUGGAUUUCCUCUUAAAGCCAUACCAGCAGAUUUUGAUCAACGAAACCUAGUUUUUAUGCAACUGACCAGCAGCAAGAUUGUACGAGUUUGGGAGGAUUCGAACCUGGUACGAUAUAAUUAUCAAUGUCCUUGUAAAUAUCAACAUCAGUCAUCAUCAUACAUUCUCUCCUUUAUUCAUUUGGAUUUUUAUUAUUGUUUUCUCUUUUUGAGUAACAGUUGCCUAAGAAGUUGAAGUAUCUCAUUCUUGGAGGCUGCCAUAACUUGACUAAAUUACCAGACUUUUCAAAACUCCCACUUCUCGAGGUAUUGAACCUCGGUGGCUGUAAGGGUUUGUGUGGGGCUUACCAUUUUUUAGCACAACUGAAGAUGAUUCAGGCAUUAAAUCUCAGCAACUGCAAUAUAACAGAUGGUGCCGUUCUCGAAAUAAUUGGGAGUCUAUCUUCUUUAAGAGCUUUAUAUCUAAGUGGGAAUGGUUUUAAUAGGCUACCCAUUCUCAGUGGCCUUUCUCAGCUUCAGUUUUUACGUCUAAAUCAUUGCACAAACCUUCAGGCAAUCCCAGAUUUGCCGAACAGUUUGAUUGAAUUGGAAGCGAAUAACUGCACUGCACUGGAAAUAAUGUCCGACUUUUCAGAGAUGUCGAAAAUGAGGAAAUUGGAACUGAAAGAAUGCCGCAAACUCAAAGAUAUUCCAAACUUGGAGAACUCAUUGGACUACAUGGUUUCAAUUCAUAUGGAAGGGUGUACCAGUCUCACUGGUACUUUUAAGGAGAACCUCCAAACGGUAUGGUACUCUCUAUCUCUCUCUGCUUUUUGUAUUGUUGCUUAUACUAACUUUGCACCCCAUUGUGUAGAAAAAUGCAUUUGGUGGAAUUUUUCUCUCUGGAAAUGAUAUUCCUCACCGGUUAGCCUACGUCGCGAGAGAGGAUGAAAUUGUCCAAUUUGUAGUGCCGCAAAGUAAUGAUUAUAUAAGAGGGUUGGCUUUGGGCAUCGUUUAUUCUUCGAAAACGACGAUUCUACUGGGUUUCUAUCCAUUGAUGUUGUUAAUCUUGCCCAGCGAACUAGAUUUCGCAUCUGGGCAAUGAAGGCCACCGUAACUGCUUCCCAUGAAGAUCAUCUUUGGUUGGGAAAUAUUUCAAACAAGAAGCUCAAUCUGAAAGGCGGCGACAUGGUUCUUGUAGGAGCAAAAUUUUAUGGAGAUAAAAGAAUUGAGGUGAACAAAACAGGAGUAGAUAUUGUAAAGUGGGAUUUGUCUGAUAGUGGUACUAAUUGGGACACCUAUGUGACUAAGCCAUAUAAGUCUAUUGAAGACGGUGCUAGGUCAAGAGUGUCUGAUGUAGGCACUGAUGCCGAUACACUAUUGAGCUAUUGCCACGUUUUCCUCUGCUACAAGACCCCAGAGGCCUGGCCAUGGCGCAACAAAGGCCCUGAGUUCGAUCCACUCACUAGGUUCUUCGCAUCUGCUCUCAAAGCUCGCAAGAACGACAUCACCGUUAAGGUCUAUUUUCCAGCUCAAUUCGUCGGCAUUUUUGAUUGCUUUUUCUUACCGUUUCUUAUUUUCUGGAGCUACUGAGUUCUGGUGUUGAGCUGAGUUGACUCCGUUACUCACUUUUUUCUUGGUUUUUGAUAGACGUUGCUAUCAGUAAUUGAAGGACACGAAGGAACUGAGUUUUCCGACGGGGAUGUGUUGAUUUUCCCACAAAUGAUCAAAUAUAGGUAAAUUCGCAUUGAUUUCUUGAGAUUUUUGUUUUGUAGUUGCUUUAAUUUUCAUCCGAAUUUAUAGGAUUUAGAUAAUUAACCAGUGGUUAAUUUUAAUCCGAUUUAUAACGAUGAACUGAAACCGUAGUUGAGUAUUUCUUAACAAUAAAACAGUAAUAAGAAUAAGUAUAUCAAGCAAGCUUGAGAGGUAAGGAAGAGAACAACAAUGUCGCACUGGAGUAAUCUGAAGCAAUAACUUAUAACUAUUCAACAUGGCACAUAAAAGCUUAACUUGGUGGAUGAAAAAAGUUCAUAUGGUGGUUUGAUUAUGGAGUACUGAGAGUGUUGUCUUACCUAUAGCUACAUUGAAGAAUGCCAUGCAAAAUUGCUUACGACGGAGAGACUAAAACGUGAGCCAGACGUUAACAAUUCUCUGUUCAAGCAGAGAAACAAUCAAAACAUACUAAGGUGCUAACAAAAUGCUACAUUAGUAAGAAUACUCCACUUGAGACAAAAUCUAGAGCUGUUAUUGGCAUUUAGAAAACUAAGUCGUAAUACCGUUAUUCGAAAAACGCUCGAGUGCUAUUAAAAAAUUGAGUCAUAUACUAUUGAAACUAAGUCGUAUACUAUUGAAACGAAUUAUUUCCUUACUACAACCACCACUUCCAAAUCAAAAGAUAAAGAAAUAACAAUAUACGACGCAUUGGCAGAAAAGUGUCACAUUACAUACCAUCAAAUGACAGCAACUAACUCCUGAUAUCAGCUGCUGGAAGUAAAACCUUGUCUGAUGCAAAACAACAAUUAAAUCGAAAAAGUACGUAAGUUGUAGUUAUAUUAUGACUGACUGUUUAUGUAAAAAUGCUUUAGACCUAACUUUCUCCAUCUGAAACUAAGGGAAAAUCGAGAUGGAUUCCAUUUCAUUAUUUCCCUUUGAACAUGUUCAUCUAUCUACAUCACGAAAAAGAAAAAUAUUUUUAAAAAAAUACAAAGUUUAAGGGAUGAGAAAUAAAGAAAAUUCAGAAAAAGGGAAGAUAUAAGAGUCGAAGAAGACAGAACCAAAACAUCCAAGACUCGCCCACCAAGGUAAUCAAGACAUCGAAGAUAGGACAAGGAUUGUCUGCCCUCCACUUUCGGUGCCCUUGCCUUCCUGUUUGUGUGGUCACGGUUAAGGCACGUCAACAUUUUAUAUUACUAUUCAUUUUUGUCUUAUUAUAUCUAUAAAAAAAAAUAAUAUAAAAUGUUGACGUGGUUUAACCGUGACCACACAAAAUAGAAAGGCACCGGAAGUGGAGGACAGACAAUCCUUGUCCUCCAAGAUAACAUCCAAGACUCACCCACGACCCAGCUAGGUAGCAAACACACACAUAAAGGCUAAAAAGGAUAGGGUCGUCAUCAUAUUAGGUGUUAGGUGAGUCUUGGAUGUUUUAGCUAUGGUCAACCUAAACCAAAAUCAAGUGACAAAUAAACAAAGGUAUGCAUAAAUCAUUUUCUUUCCGUUAACUUUAAUUAAUAAGAGUGGGUUUGGAUCUAUCUUAGUUUGCUUUCUGAUGUCAACAUGUAAGAGUAGAAUGUAGUACUACAAAGAGGAAGCCAUCAUUGCAAGCCUAUAUCAUGGCAAGCAAGGCAGAUUCACUCUCACCUCCAUAUACUACCAAAUCUUAGUCUCUAUGAUUUUGCCCGAGCUACCUAAUGUUGAAUAUAUAUCUGUUGAAUGUUCUAUAACAUCAACAUUAUAAAGGUUUCUAAUUGAAUCAUACAUUUAAAAUCCAAGCAUGAAAGCUUUACAAAGAUAAAUAAACAAAUGUAAAUAACUAAUUAGGCAGUACACAACAGAGAAGGGAGAGAGAGAGAGCAGUUGAAGGAGUGAGAAACAAAGCAGCAUACCAAGUGGAGGGUAGGCAGUUAAGCAUUGACAUUACGUAUGGAAUGCCUGAGAACUGAUUUGUGCUUCUGUUCCUCAUGAUCCUCUUAAAUGUAAUUCUACACAUUUCUAAACCAAAAUCACAAAGUAGAAUUCAAAGAAAUUUAAAGAAACCUAGUAAAGAUUCAAGCUUUUUGAUUAUCCAAAAGAUAUACAGAAUCCCAUGUAACAAAAACAAAUUUAUGACACAAAAGACAUGAUCUUUAGCCACAAAAAGCAAGAGAGAAAGAGAAAGAGAAAGAGAGAUAGAGAGAGAUUUUGCUUUUUGAACUAUGCAGAAUUUGCAGAGAAUCAAAAUAUCAUAAGUCGUUUAACAAAAUUAUAUUUUAGGCAAAAAGACAUCACCUUAGACCCCUAAUGAAGGAAUUUGAGAGAGAGGGCAUACGUGGUUGCCAAAAAAAGGAAGAGAGCAAUUCCAUGUCCUCUAAAAACGAAGAAACAGAACAUUAACAAAUACACACGCACAAAUCUCAAAGGAAAUUGGUAAGAAAUAAUCUCAAUUGAAAAAAUAAUCAGAAAACCAGAGAGGAAAGUUCUGAAAGUCAAUAAAAAACUUAGAACAAAACCUAGUGUGCAUGCAUUGUUUUUUUUUAUCUAUUUCAUCCAAAUCUUGAAACGAAAGAGAAAAGCCUUAAGAGAAUCAUGUAGUAGCCUUUUUAGCCUCCUAUUGUUAUGAUGUCCUCCUCGACUCAUUUGCCGAACGGUAAAUUCCCAACAGUAAAGAAUGAAUUGAAAAUAAUUUGUUACCUUUUGAAUAGUAAGGAUGCAGCAGACCCGGACAAAUCAACCCAUACCUCUAGCCCCUAUCCCUUACUCCCUCAAUCUCUCUCUAUACCCGUUCCCCUCAACCCUACCCUCUCUCUCUAUCUGCAACCAACGUUAGUGGACAGAACCCACCCCCCCUCUCUAGCUCCUACCCUUCCCAUCAACCCUCUGUCCACCCCCAACCCUUGCCAUCAACCCUCUUGUCUCUCAUUGUGCAAACCCUAAACUUGAUGUCACCGGACAAGGAUUGUCUGCCCUCCACUUCUGGUGCCCUCCUAUUUGUAUGGUCACGGUUAAGCCACGUCAACAUUUUAUAUUACUAUUCAUUUUUGUCUUAUUAUAUCUAUAAAAAAAUAUAAAAUGUUGACGUGGCUUAACCGUGACCACACAAAACAGGAGGGCACCGGAAGUGGAGUGCAGACAAUCCUUAUCCGAUGUCACCCUCUGCUUCUCUGCACAAUCUCUUGAACUAAAUAGAUAAUUAGAUAUAUGUUAGCUUCUAAAAUUAGUUCUAGAAAUUAAUAGAUAAUUAGAUACGUGUUAGCUUCUGAAAUUAGUUCUAAAAAUUGAAUUUAAUAGCUCAGUUUACGACUAAUUCCUUGCCUUACAAGAAAUUAAAGAGUUUUAGGUUAUUGUUUCCUGUAAAUUCCUUUUUGUAAUUUUGGAGUUGUUUUUGUUUGUUGAUCACAGGGGCUUGAAAGAGUCGGAUGUGGAUAGCUUUGUUGAUGAUGUCCUUGUGAAUGACAAACCAUGGGCUUUCGGAGUGCAAGAGCCGUUGACUGGCCCCCGUGUAUUUAUAUGCGCACAUAUUAGUGACAAUCUUUUUUCCGCACGUUUGGUCGCAGGUAUUCUCAUUUAUAAUUUCAAACAUGAGACUAAGCUGCGAGGAUUGACAGAUCAGGUAUUUGUUACUGCUUGCUUUCAAAUUGGAGGCCGCAAGUAUGCUAGAGAACUCAGGAUCUACAACCCAGAUUCAGAUGGAAGCAUGACAUGCCAUUGGUAAUAUCCGGAUCAUAACAGUUUAAAAUUUAUCGUAUUGGGAGCGAUGAAGGAGUUUGAAUAUUAUGUAUUAUUAAUUGCAGGUAUCCCUUCGUCACCUUUUCUGCCGUGUCGCAAUUGCUUGAUAAGCAUAUUGGGAAGGGAGAGAUUAUAGAACGACAUUGGAGGUUUGUACGUUUUUGGUUUUGCCUACUAUCUUUGGAUGAAAAUUUCAUUGGACGGAAGCUUGUGUUGUCGUAUUUUUCAAUUGUUGAUUAUGUCUGAUCUUGUAUGAUAGAUUAAUUGAUAUAGAGUUACAUUAACAUCGAGGAACUUUUGUGGAGAAAACACAAAAUAAUUGGAUAUAAUUGCAUUACCCUGUAUAUGUUUCUGGUUUGUAAUGUUGUUGUGAUUUGUUUAUUAAGCUUGAUCAUACAUGUUCUUGCUCAAUUGUUAUUGACGAAACUUAGAGUUGAAUCUUUAAAUAGCUUAACAUGAAAUUCAAUUUCAUUCCUUACAGGGGCCAAAUGGGAGCAUCUUCUGAUAAAGCUGAAGAAAUUAAUGACCGGGAGCUUCCAAAUGGAGAAGAAAAUAAGAAAAUCGAGGAGAAGCCACAAGAAAGGAAUCAGAUUCACCAAGAAAAGGGCAAUCAGAUUGAGAAUAAUGAGAACUUUUCAGGCUGUUGCCAAGGUGCUAAUAGUGAUGGAUUUACAUGUUGCGAAGAAGUAAGUUUGGAAGAGAACGGUGGAAGUGAGGAAAAAAAGCCGAAAGAAACCAGAGGGUCGUGUGCCAUAAAGGAUGCCUUACGGAAGCUGUCAAGCUUGAUUGGGAACUGGAAGCAAAGCAAUGUUCUCGCAGCUGCUGCUGUGGUUGGAGCAGUGGCAAUAGUGGUUGUGGCCUAUAGCUUUUACAGAAGGUCACGCUGAAGCGUACUCUAAUCCAUGUCGGGUUUUGCCACGGGUGUCAAUGCUUUAUUUUCUUUUUCAUUUUUUCUUUGUAGAAAGAUGGUAUAACUUCAAUUAAAUAAUCCUCGGAACCAUGCUCUUAAAUGAACGAAAUGUAAUAAACUAUUGAAUGGUUUUAUCUUGAUUGGGAUCUCUUAUGAGACUGCUUGCUAAAUGUUGAUGUGGUGUGUUCUAAGCUUGUGAUUAUUUUUGAUUUGCCUGCUGGACUUAUAAUUCAAUCGUCAAUUUUGUCAAAAUUUAUGGUAAUUUUCGUGAAAUAAAUCUCAAUUUUGUUGUUUAUAAAUUUCAAAAGAGAAAAAAAGGGCAUUGAUGUCCUCGUUUUUUGUUCAAUAAACGAGAUAAAUGACUAUGUGCUAACAUCUUAAUCUGCUUGAACUAUUUUUCAGAUAUACAACAUCGUUGUCAAGAAUUUUACUUUCGUUCUAGAAUAGUUUUUUUUUUUUUUUUUCUUAUUGUGGUUCUCAAACUCUCUCAUGUGGUAAUUCAAUUAUAUCUGUUAACUCAAUUUAUUUUUUUGUUGCAAGUGGUCCUUUACUAUAGUGGUGGAAAGAAGUUAAGCUCUUACAUGACGAUGUGAGUUUGAACCUCGUCGGUGGCUAAUUUAACAAAAUCUAUUUUUUGACCAAAAAAAAUUAAUUUUUCUCUUAAAUAUAGAGGGCAUAGCAAGAAUUUUGUACAUCCACCUCCUUUUUCCCAUAUUUUAGGUUGUGGGAUGAAUUUUAAAUUUAUCACCUCUACCUAACAGAAAAAUAGAUGAAGUCAAUGAAAAGGAUAUAAAAAACAAAGUCAUGCGAUAGCGAGUUUGAAGAUCAUAUAAAACAAAUAAAAUGUUUAAGAAUGAAAAUGAUGAUAAAUGACAAAUUCAGGGCAAUGUAAUUAACUCUAUUUAUUUUCUAUAUGUACAAAAUAUUAAAGGCAUUUCUAUGACACUUAUGUACACAAAAUUUUACUUUACUCUAUAUGCUGAUUUGUUCACUUUACCACCUAAACUUUUAUUAUGUGUCUCACUUUACCUUAUUUUUUUUAACUUUGUUAGUAUGAAAGGGAUGAAGAUCCAGAUGAGGUCGAGCAGUGGACAAGGAUCUUAAGGCUUCUGCAGAUUUGUGUGGCCGGAAUCUUAAAACCACAGCGGACAGGUAUAUUAAUUCUUCCUCUAAAUUUAAUUCCAACGUCUUGUUUAGCUUCUAAGACUCACUAAUCCACCAAAAAUAAGGAAAGUGAUGAUCCAACCCUUCAACAACCCACAUCUUCGUAAGGAUCAUUUAAUUCAAUGUUUAAAUUAUUGACUCGUUAUUUUUUAUAUUUUUUUGUUGUUAGUUCGCCUAAUCACCAAAUGAAUUGUGCAAUUCCUUCUCUUGUUUCGUUGAUAAUAUUUGCCUUACCGUUGAUUUCCAGCGGGAUGCUUGAUAUUUCUAAGUAUAUGGUAUGGUAUGGUUCUUGCAUACUGGGACCAAAAUAUUAGCAUGUCUUUUUGUCUUUUAAUGAAUACAAAGAUGUGUUUAAAAUAAAGAGCAGUAUAUCUGAACUAGGAGACGACAACUUUUCAAUGUGCCGGAAUACAACUCGGUACAUCAAGUGUCAUCAUAUAAGUGGUUGGAUUUUUUUUCUUUUUCGAAUUGUGUUUUCAGCACACUAAAAAAUCUCUCAUAAAAAAAGGUGAUAAAAUAUGUCAUAUGUUGUGGCCUAUAUUUAAUAGAUAGGUGCGGCAAAGAGAAGAAGAGAGAAUGGAGAAUAGGUUUGAGGAAUUGUGUGUUAAUUCCCCAGUCCUUGUGCCUUUAUUUAUAGUAAUUAGGAGGAGAGAAACUUGCUCUCCAAGUAAUACAAAGUAUAUUAGGAAAGAUCUUCUAGAUCCCAAAGGAUUCCUAUUUUAUCUCUACUUAGGAUUUACACAAUCACAUAUUGAUAAGAACAUAUGUCACAACACUCCCCCUUGAGUGUGCAAAUACUCAAGUAGAUGGCGCAUCAGAUCUUCAGGCAAAUGUAGAAGUAGUGGAUGAAAUCGUCUCGUUUGGUCGGCACAAGUAGCGAAUACGAGUCUCAAAAGACGGAAGAAUGCAGGAGUGGUAAAACUCACAAAACCUUACUAUGGCAAAACCCAAGGUGGGAGAAAAGCCCAUAGGCUAAGGAGAAAAGUGAGAAGUUGCAUUAAGUCAAAACUAUACGUCUUCUGGACGCAAGUAGAAGAGCUCACAAGGGUAUGAUCAGCCCAGGAUGGGUGCCUCGUUAAAACCUAGUUAGGUAGCAAAAACCCAGUGGGAAAAAUGCUCCUAAUCGUAGGGAAAAAGAGUACAUUAAGAUCAAGUGAGUAUACUUCUAGAUACUCCCCCUGAGUUUGACAAAACUUCCAAAUGAAACUACAAGCAUUGCAAAUGAGAAAGUUACGCAUACCAAUUCAUUGGACAAGCUUCUGGAAGGUAGACUUUGGUAGUGACUUUGUGUAGAUAUCGGUAAGGUUGUCUAGGAUUGGACUGCUUGACUUCAAUCUUCUGAUGCUCAUGCUGAUGUAGACACAAUAUGCUUGGUGUUGACUUUGUUGGAUGUAUCAUGAUCUGGUCGAUACAUACAGCGUUGUAUUCAUGGAUCGUUGUUGGGACUCAACGAUGGUUGAAAAUCGCAAGGAUUUUGAAUAUGCUCAACAAGAAUUCUCGACCAUAUCUCUCACGUGAUGAGACAUAGUGAGUCUUGGAGCGAUUCAAAGGUUUCGCAACAAAAGGUCUCUCUAGUUAACCUCCAAGAUAUUGCGGUGUUCCUUAAUGGUAAAGACAUAACCAUGCGGGAACGUACCUUGUGCGGUCAGAUAAAUGGUCUGAUUCAGCGAAUCCCACAAGGUAGGCAUCAUUCCGAAGAUCAAGGGGGUGUGAUCUAUUCUGAGAUGCAUAGGGAAUAAGCCCAAAUCCGUAGUAACAGAAAAACGUCUUUAACACCAAAUUUGGUGGUGGCGUGUUAGGCGCAGUGCUGCUUUAUGCCAAAAGAUUAUCAGCACAUAAGAUGUCUGAUCUAGUGCAUUUGAGCUAAGUACAACAAACGCCAAUGGUACUUAGAUAUGGCUGCCUCACGUUCCAAUAAGGAACCUUAUGCUCCAUACCCUCCGUAAAGGUCUCAUUUGCAUCUAGCAUAUAGAUGAUCAGGAUAUACUCAGACGUAACACCUUCUGGGUCUAGUUUGAGUGGUGGACCAGAAUACCAUCAAAACUAGCUCGAAACUUCAGGUCGAGGUAAUGUCAAGUUCUCCCAAGAUCAUUCAUCUUAUAGUCCGAUAUGCGAGUUAAUUUUCUCAACUUUAGCAAUUUCGGAUUUUAUACACGCAGGGGCAUAUAUCCCUAACUGAUCAAAUAUUCACUUAGACGCGUAUACCACAUCUGCCCGGAUAGUUCUGCAUCCGUAAAGUGAAGGCCGCUUGAGAAUCAAGAAGAUGUUCUUGUGGUCUAGAACUAUUUGAAUCAGUACAUCUAAGUCCUUUGGAAACUCCAUGUAGGUUCAUAUCACGAUCCCAGAGAUACUACAACCACGUUUGUAAUGCUGCGAUGAAUCAUAUGGCGUAUGAGAGAAACCUUGCGCCACAAGGCGUCAUAUUGCACUAUUUCAUUCAUCUCAUUCGUCAUAGAUUGAUUCUUUUAGUUGACCAAUCAGUUCUACGUUGAUAUUAAUCAACGGAACGCGGUUCGUUAACGUCGCUUUUCAUUUAUGUCGGUACCAUAUAAAUGAAACAUCAUUUAUGAUAAUCUCAUUCCAAUUCCAUAUCUCAUCCAAACUAGUAUACUGGACCAAGAACUUCAGGUCUCGGGAGUAAUCCGGAUUUAAUCUCAUGAGAUGAAAAGGUCUGAGACAGCGAUCGAGGGGCGGAUUCAUUCGUGCCACGUUCCUCCUCUUUUGGGGAGGUGAAUCCUCGAACCGAGUGAUCUACCAUGCUUAUGGCAUAAGAUAGAUUGAUUGGCUAGCCGCCAAUGUACGAGGGUCGGCCAUAAUUGUGGCUUUCCUACUUUCAGGAUAAAGGUCCGAAGUACAUUUGGUACACAUCUUUGCAGGCAUAUUUGCAGCUGGUAUAUGUGAUCUCGUCACUUUUUCUAGAUCAGAGGAAAUGUCUGGUUAAACUCUGACGAUCUAGAUUGGGAUCGAUAUGAGACAUAGUGGGGACGUCCACGAUAAUUCGCGUCGUUCUUUAGGAACGUUGACGUGCUUAUCUCCCCCUAACGACGGGAAGAAUGUCUCAUAAAAGUGACAAUUCGCAGAAUGAGCGGUAAAGAGAUCGCCUGUCAAAGGUUAUGCAGUAACGAAUAUUAGAAGGAGAAUCAUAACCGACAUAGAUUUCCAUCCUUCCUUGAGGACCCCUUUGUUUUUGUGUACGUAAGGGCGGCGCAAAAUGGCACAUAGACCGCACAACCAAAGACGCGCAGAUGCGAUAUGUCGGGUUCGUAUCUGGUAACCAACUGACACGCGCUUUAUAAGGUUGGGUCGUGACGGGCCUCAGGCAGACCAACAUGGUUGCUUGCAAUAUUGCAUGGCCCCAAGCAGAGGUCGGGAACUGUGGUACGUAUGACCAGUCGACCACGCAAUCAUUUGAAGGCGUUUAAUGAAUACUUCUGCUGGGUCGUUCUAGGUAUGAACAUGGGACUGGAUGUUCAACUUUCAAAAACCCAACCGACAUGCAAUAUCCAUCGAGAUUUAAAUUGUUCGAUGUAAAUGUCGAUGUAAAUUCUCCAACUUAUCCAAUCAAAUAAAUUUGAUCAGAUAAUCAGGGUGGUGAGCCCUGAGCUUGUUAAUCUGAGCUACCAGUGUGGAGAAUGCAACUUGUGGACAACAACCACACGUGUGACAAACGUGUAGAAGCAUCAACCAAUACUGUUGAUGCACAAAAUCAGCGAAGACUUUGGUACAACAGAAAGUGUCAGGUUUUGUGACCUUCGCUUGGUUGCUUCGGUCACUAGUGAGGAUAAGUACGUAAAUGAAUAGAGAUAGAGAAGCAAACACAGGAUGUACGUGGUUCACCCAGAUUGGCUACGUCCACGGAGUCGAGGAGUUCUCAUUAAUUGUGAAGGGUUUACACAAAUACAUAGGUUCAAGCUCUGGUUUAGUGAGUUCUAGUGAAUAGUUUAGUACAAAAUGACAUUAGAAAUUAUUGUGGGAGUAUGACCUCUAUUUAUAGAAGAGAGUUUCUAGUUUUGUUCUGACAUUGACACGUGUCGUGUUGUAAUUGGCUUCUGAUGUUGACACGUGUCGUGUUGUGGUUGGCUUCUGAUGUCGACACGUGUCGCAUUGUGAUUGGCCUCCCGGUUGAAGGGAAGCUCUUCUGGAUCCUUGAUGGUAUAACGUUGACCGGUGCUCAGUAGUUUCGGGAUUGGUCAAGUAUGGUACAAACAGUGCUCCCCUAAGUUCCCGAGUGAGGGAAGCUCCUCGGUUGGGGACUUGCAAGAUCCAAGCCGCUGAGUAAUCACGAAACUUCUAAGUACCGAGGUGUGGUAUCGUCUUCACUUGCCUUAUCUUUCUCAUAGGUAGAUGUGGCAUCUUCUCUGGAAGUACGCUUCCUCCAUUCAGGGGUGGUGUCCUUAACCGGGGGAGAUGCACAAGGUAAUGUAUCAAUUUCACUUGAAGCUUACUUGUAGUUUUGGGCUUGGUCAAGUGCGAUACAAACCCUAUAGUAGGAGUCCCCCAAGUCGCCGAGCUAGGAGAUCUGCCGAAAGAGGUGACAGACAAGGUAAGCAGUCAAACUUCCAAGCAAGCAACCCAGGAUCGGAGGUUCGUCUUCGGCUUCCGGUUGAUUGUUCUCCUUUUCCUUGUCUCUCAUUCAGCUGCCAGGAUAAGGAGAAACAAAUGGAGAAGAGGUGAUAUGAGAUACUUUUGCUUUUGAAGAAGUAACUUUCCACAGGCUAAUUCUUGAACUGUGCCGGAGGGUUUUUUGGUUCCCUUCAGAGUAUAAGGCCGACUUAAGAAUUUGAGGGUCAAAACAAGUCCAUCAAAUCUAGAGUACGUUCGACCUUGAUGAUAUGGGAUACUGUUGCUGUUGACGGAAUAGUGAAUGUGGUAUGGAAAGGUGUCGUGAUGUAGUGAUCUGUUUCAGCUCAUCGUUGACCCUUCUGCUUCAAUCUUUUGCAUGGCAGAAGUGGUGUGCAACCUUUGCAUUUAAAUGGUCCUUCAGAACAUUCCUUCAUAGUGACUCAUCCAUGCUUGGCAGCUUCAGUGUAAAGAGCCAAUAUCUGAUCAACUGUCAUGAGGUAUUUGCCGGUGGAAUUCGUGAUCUUGACAGCAGUUGAGGAUGAGUACUCGAGAGCAAUGCUAAGUAAGCAACCAGGCAAAGGUUCCAGGCAGUCAGUUCCAGAUUGGAGGUUUGAUUUCAGGUUCCGACUGACUGCUCUCUUUCUCCUUGUCCUGCAGGUGUGGACAAGGACAAAGACAAGGAUAAGGAGAAAGCAUGAUAUGGGAUACUCUUGCUUUCAACCUUGAUGAUAUGGGAUACUCUUGUUUUUGGUGUGGCUUAUUUGCUGAGGUAUUAUCGGGGGGAAAUAAAGCUGAGUAUUUCGAGAGGUUAUGUUGAGGGUGCCUUCUCGAAUGCGAGAAAGGGUUGAGCAUUUUUGCAGGUUUGCCUGUCCGUUGAGGAGGGAGGUCGAUGUAUAUAGGGAUUUCCCAAUAACAAGUAGUAAUGCUAUUCCUUUACCCUUCUUGGUCACAGUAAUGUAGUGGGAGCUGCCAGCUUCACGUGUUUUAACUUUGUCAGAGCACUUUGAAAAAGUGGUAUGUGGUAUCUGGAAAGCUGAUGUUACGUGUGAAGAUUACAGACAAGCUUUAUCUAAGGAAAUCUGGCUCUCGAAGUUCUGAGAGUUGUGCCUCUUCUGUUUUCGAACAAGCAAUCCCGUCGAGGAUCUGACUCUCGAGAUUCGGAAAGCGGUGCUACUUCGGUUUUUGAGAAAGUAAUUAUGUUGGGAGUCUUUUCUCGAAUGUGAGUAAAGGUCGGACGUUCUUGCCAACCUGUCCUGCCGCAAAAUACGGAGGUCGACACACAUAGGGACUUUCCAGUUGUCAAGCAGUGGUGCUGUUCCUUUACCCUUGUGGGUAAUAGUAGGGUAGCUGGAACUUCGAAAUUCUCGUGCCUAAACUUUGUCAGAGAUCUUUGACAAAGUUAUAUGUGGUACCCGAGGAGUUGAUGGUGCAUGUGGAGAGCGGUGAUUUGAACAGUAAGAUUCACGUGCUUUCUACUUCACCAGAAAUCUUCGACAGAUUGCCCGUAAUUUCCGCAAAGCUGAGUGUGCAUGUGACAGGUGCUGACGAGGCUGAAAAAGCAGGUGCUUCUUCGAUUUCUGAGAUCGGCCCUCGUGGUCUCUGAGCAGCCCAGCUUUUGAGAAAGCAAAUGCCUCUUCGAUUUCUGAAGCUCCGUCGAGUGCAGAUUUUUAUAGAGGUUGGCAUUAAGUUCCACAGCACACUUGAAUCUCUACCAGUAGAAGCUCCCUUCUUGCACUUCUAAGAUCUUGAUUUGUCUGACCUCUUCCCUCUUCAACACAUUUUAAAAUGUCUGGACCCUCCGACCGUCGUUUUGACUUGAACCUUGGAGAAGAGACAGCCACGCCUUCUCCAGACAACAUAUGGCGCCCAUCCUUCAUAUCCCCUACUGGUCCUCUUACCGUUGGGGAUUCUGUGAUGAAGAAUGAUAUGACCGCAGUGGUGGCCAGGAACCUUCUCACUCCCAAAGAUAACAGACUACUUUCCAAACGGUCUGAUGAGUUGGCUGUUAAGGACUCUCUGGCUCUUAGUGUUCAGUGUGCAGGUUCUGUGUCUAAUAUGGCCCAACGCCUAUUUGCUAGAACCCGCCAAGUUGAAUCAUUGGCUGCUGAAGUGAUGAGUCUCAAACAGGAGAUUAGAGGGCUCAAGCAUGAGAAUAAACAGUUGCACCGGCUCGCCCAUGACUAUGCUACGAACAUGAAGAUGAAGCUUGACCAGAUGAAGGAAUCUGAUGGUAAGGUUUUACUUGAUCAUCAGCGGUUUGUGGGUUUGUUCCAAAGGCAUUUAUUGCCUUCGUCCUCUGGGGCUGUACCUGGUAAUGAAGCUUCAAAUGAUGAACCUCCAAUGCCUCCUCCUUCUGGGGUUUUGUCAAGUACUGAGGCUCCGGAUAACCACCCUCCGGUGCUUUCUCUUUCUGGGGCUCUACCGACUGCUGAGACUUCCCCUAAGCAACCUUUGUGAAGGCUCCCUUUUGUUUGUUUAUUUUGACUCAUGUAUAUGUACAUAUUUGUGGCUUUAUCGAAAAUAUUAAUAAAUAAGCUUUGCUCCAUUUCAACAUAUUGUGUUAAAUACACCAAAGCAUUCUUCAGAAAGUUCUCUGAAUUUUUUUUUUCUUUUGUCGAAACUUGUAUUGUUGAAGCUUUGUGAGUGAAGCAUGUAGUUUGAGGUAGUGUUCCCUUAAUUUCCUGAGUGAGGAAAACUUCUCGGUUGGAGACUUGAAAAAUCCAAGUCACUGAGUGGUUGUGAGACUUCCGAGUAUCAGGGUGCAGUAGCAUAUGGUGGGAGUCCCCCAAGUCUUCAGGCGAGGAGAGUUGCCGAAUGAGAUGUCUUGCUUGCUACUAAUAUGUCAAAGUAACGAAGCCUUGUUUUGAUGUCACACCUUCAUAUAUGCCUUAUCCAAAAAUAUUUCAAGCUAGGUUUAGCUUUGGGAGGGCCCAAAAUUUUUGUGUAGCCCAAAACUGCUCAUUUGUUUGCAAGCCCACGAAAAGAAGGGAUCCAGUGCCUUUGUUCAUUUGUUAUUUGUGUGGCAAGCCCAAAGAGGAGAACAUGUUUGUGCCCACUCCCCUUUAUUUAGUUUUUUGUGAAGCCCAAUGUAUUCUUGCUGCAUAUUGGGAGGUAGAUAAAUAAUAACAAUGAGACUCAAAGUCUCAUCCCUUUGCCUGUGUCUUCUUCCCCAUUUCCCCGGACUUUGUUCAAUAUGGCACUGUGCACUUAUUCCUUUUGUCCGUCACUUUUGGUGGCUUUUGGCUAUUCUUUUGACUGGCCUUUUUCUUUCUUUGCUGGAAAGGUCUUCAUGUCCUCACAAAAAUCUGAAUGAGUCCAAAGGCAUGAUGAAGGAAAGUGGGUGUUGGAGCCAAGGAAGGGAAGGAAGGAGUUAACGGAGAGGGUGCAGUAGCUCUGCAAUAAAACAUCAUGUUCUGUAGCUCAAAUCGCAAGGUUGUCUUCAUGAAAGUUGUUCCUUAGCUUGUGAACUACAACAUAUCCGAAUUUGAGAGCCAUCGGAGUAGUACAACUCCAGAUAUUCAGGUAUGUUGAGUAAGUGUUCAUCAUUUUGCGGUUAACCCGUCAGACUUAUUGUGAGCUUCGAAACUUCAUUUUGUCUUGUUCAGAUCAACAUACUUUCUUCAUCAAAGUUGUUUCUGACCUUGUGAAAUACAACAUAUCCAAUUUUGAGGUUCAUCGGAGUAGUACAACUCCAGAUAUUCAGGUAUGAUGAGUAACUGUGCAUCAAUUUUCUGUGAACCCGUCAGACUUAUUGUGAGCUUCAAAAAUUCAUUUUUUCGUGUUCAGAUCAACAUACUUUCUUCAACAAAGUUGUUUCUUAUCGUCUCUUUCAUGACAUAUCAAAAAUUCAGAAUGAACUAACGGUUAAAUAUUUCCAGAUCUUCGAAACAUCACAGCAGCUUUUAAAUUUGCGGGAAUCCGACUGUCAUGUUGGGAGCCUCAACACUUUAAUUUCCGUAGCUCAAACAGAAACGAUUCCUUCUUGAAAGUUGUUCAUCUGCUCAAGAACUAUAAGGUGUCCAAAAUUCAGCUCCAUUGGAGAAGAGCAGAGGUUGCAGAAAUUUGAUAGAUGAAAGGAGGCGGAAGAGGAAGAGAGGGAAAAAGGUUGCUUGGGUUGGAUUUCUAGUUAACUUGGGACUUUGGCUUGUUGUUUGAUGUAUUAUAAUAUAUUUGGAAACAUAUACAUAAUUGCCUGUUUGUUGAUGACAGGGAUGUUGUGGGUGUAGAACAAAACAAAUGUUUGUGUUGACCCCUGUGUUGUUGUACAAGUUCAAAAGAAUAUUGGUUGUGUGAACAAAAUUUGUUUAUUUGCCACAAGGUUUUGUGUUUGGAAAAUAGUUGAAUAGGUAAGGUUUAUUGACUAUAAAUUUGUGCUUGGGUAGAUAGCUUGACUAGUGAAGAGCUUUGGUGUUGAAGCUUCAUAGGUGAAGCUUUGGUGUUGAAGCUUUAUAGGUGAAGCUUUGGUUGGCGAAGCUUUAUAGGUGAAGCUUUGGUGGUGAAGCUUUAUAGGUGAAGCUUUGGGGUUGAAGCUUUAUAGGUGAAGCUUUGGUGGUGAAGCUUUAUAGGUGAAGCUUUAUAGGUGAAGCUUUAUAGGUGAAGCUUUGGUGGUGAAGCUUUAUAGGUGAAGCUUUGAUGUUGACACCAUAAAUUGAUUGUGCUUCGCACUAUCUUGAUGAACAUAGUGCGAAGCUUUUGAGAUUGAUAUUUGUCCUCCAUUGAUGAAGCUUUUGUUGGCACCAUAAAUUGAUUGUGCUUCGCACUAUCUUGAUGAACAUAGUGCGAAGCUUUUGAGAUUGGGAGUUGAAUCCCAUUGAUGAAGCUGUUCCCCCUUCCCUUUUUUUUUUUUUUGUUUUUUUUUUUUUGUUUUUUUUUUUUUUUUUUUGUUUGUUUUUUUUUUUAUUUUUUUUUUGUUUUGUUUUUUUUUGUUUUGUUUUUUGUUUUUUUUUUUUGUUUUUUUUUUUUUUUUUUUUUUUUUUUUUUUUUUGGUUUUUUUUUUUUUUUUUUUCGGUUUUAUUUAUUUAUUUAUUUAUUUAUUUUUUUUUUUUUUUUUUUGAGGGGGGAACUGAAACAUUUGAAAUUUGAAACUCCUUAAUGUUAGAAGUUUGAAGAUCCUCCAUGUGGGGCUUUCUCAUGGUUUGAAUUUGAAUUUUGAAUGUUAAUAGCCAUGUUGAACUAUACAUAAGAAGGAUAAGUUCUCAUUCUUUACCUUACCUUCAUUUGCUCAUCUUGUAGGGAUUUUUUAAGACAAAGUGCUUUUUACUUGAGAGGGAUUCUAGCAUUGCUUUGCUGCACCAUCUUCAGGUUGAUAGUCUUCUCCACUACAUUGGAUGUUUUCCUUUUUGUUGAAUUGUUGGAAUGUUCAUGUAUUUUGUGACGAACAUAAUGAACUAGUUGAGCUGUUCUUCAUGCCCUGUGAGCUUCCUUAUGUUUUGAUCCUUCAUGUAGUAAUAGAGUUUGUUUCUGUUUGUUGUAGAUGUCGGAGUCUGGAAGUCUUAGUGAUAAGGGCUCCCCUAGCUCGAGCUCUAGGUUUGAGCCUGCAAUGUCGGGGUCUUCAUGGCCUUUGUUAGAGUCUUGUACAAAAGAAACGUUGGAUGAUCCUCACAAUUGUCAAACCUUAGCCAAUAUUGGUUCUUCCUCCAUGUUAGUGGGUGAGGGGGUUGUUUGUGACGCCAUACCCAUAUGUCGUUCUGAUCCUCACCAUUGUCAAACCUUAGCCGAGAUUGGUUCUUCCUCCAUACGAAUGGGUGAGGGGGUUGUUUGUGAUGCCAUACCCAUAUUUCGCUCUGAAUUCACAGCGGACCAUUUAGAAAAUAACUUGUUAGAUAGCGAAAAGCAGCUUGAGGCCCUAAGGCAAUCAUGUAGUAUCCCCCGUAGUGUAGGAAUACGUUUGGUGCGUUGUGAAGAAUUGCCUUCGGAGCCGCCCAAGGGUCAUGUUAUGUUCUAUACCCAGACAUUAAUGACCUUGGGGGUAAAUUUACCUUUGCAUCCGUGGUUGCAACGAAUGCUGGCUUUUAUUGGUUAUGCACCUGGGCAACUCAACCCUGGUUUCUGGGAUACCUUGAUCGGGUUUUAUAUUAUUUGGAUGGAGUGUGGAUUAGGUGAGCCUUCCUUCCAUCAGUGGCGCUACUGUUAUAAGAUGCGCCCGGUGAAAGCAUGUACUGGUUAUGCUGAAUGUGCAUGUCGGAGGGAGAGAGAGCGUGUUGUCUUUAAUAAGAGAAAGUCGUAUUGCACAUGGAAGAAACGUUGGUGCUUUCUUUAUAAUGAUUGGGAGCAUGCUAAGGGUGUCACGCCUGAGCGACGUGUUCCUACUCACUUCCAGACUGUAGGUUGUAAUGUAUCCAUUUUUCUCAUUAUUUGCUAUUGUUGUGAUUUUCUCUGGCUUCUAAGAUUUUUCUUCAUGCAGUGACACGAGGCACCAUCAAACUCUCCGGACAGGAGCUAGCUGAUGUAGAGAAAGUGCUGAGGGUGCCGAAAGAAGAUAGAUACUUGGGUAAGCUACGUCCCUUGUUUUGAAAGUACGGUUUCCAGCCCUUAGUUUCCGAGUGCCAAAGACGAGCGAGUAAGUUGUAUCCUCACUUGAUCCUUGUUCUUCCCUUUUUUUUUUUUUUUUUUUUUUUUUUAUAUAUAAUGUGGUAUUCCUUACUUUGAUUUUCCUUGUUCAGUGGAGAAGGUGGGCAAGAAAGUGGAGACUAGCACCAAGAAAAGGAGAGCGCCCAUGUUAGUUCCUUCAGAAGACAUCCUGUUUCACAAGGAAGCUCGCAAGCACCGAGUGAGACCAAUUAUUAAAACUAAGUCUCGAGAAGAAAUCCUCAAGGUUGCUGCCUCGAAGAAAGCUGAAGCUGAGGCCAUUGGAUGUGCUGCUGCCAUAGUUGCUGGGGAAGAUAGGCGAUUGCUGCCUCCUCUUCCUAUUAUUAAUCCCAUCUUUCCUCCAGGUAGGGAACACAUUGGGCAGGAAGGUGAUCCUAGUUUUAGCAGCAAGGGUAAAGAUAAGGAAGAGGUUGGCAGUGUCCCUUGGAAGGAUUUGAAGGUUGCCAUGCGGCCAAAGGACUUUGGGUAUAUCAACAAUUGUCUGGCAGGGCGUCGAUUCACUUUCGAUGAGCUCGGAGAGCCCCUAGCUAAAGAUGAAUCGGAUUGCGACCGGAUGUUGAAGCUGUCUUCAUAUGUGAGUGUUACUUUAUCAUUCCCUUGUUUUCUCCUCUUUAUUAGCAUUAUUUUAGUAGUGAUGAUUGUCUUGUCAUGCAGGUCAUGGCUGAGUAUCACGACAGACUGCGAGAGGCUGAACGGUGCAAGGUGAAAUUGAAAGAGAAUAAGCAGCUUGUGAAUGAUGCCAGGAAGACGAGCAAAGCUUUAGCUGAGGCCAUCCAAGUCAAGGAUCAACAUUUUGAGAGUUUGAGAGGCGGAAUGGUGAGAACUUGAGACUCAAGGUACAGUUGGAAGCAACUAAGAAACAGUUGGAGACAACUAUGCUCGAGGUUUCCAAGGUUAAAGGGGAGUUGGAUAGUGCCUUGGUUGAGGUUUCUGAGCUGAAGAGUAGUAUCCCGGCUGAGAAGGAAGCUGCUGUGAAUGAGUUCUUGGGUUCCCAGGCCUUUCUCCAUGUCCUUAGACCUCGCUGUGCCCGGGAAGUGCACUUUGAAAAAAGAAAGUGGAUGGCUGUCCUUGAUCGUUAUGAUGAUGGAAGUGUUCUUCGAAAAUACCGUGAAGAAAUAGAUGAGCAUCAUCGAAAAGGCGAAACCUUCGACCUUGCAGUUUAUUCGAGCAGUGCAGAUGAGUCUAGCGAUGAUGCUAGUGCUGAUGAGCAGGGUCAUCAGAGUGAUAUGAUCAGGGGUUCAACCUUAGAUGAGGAUGACUAGAAGUGCUUUCACUUUCUGCAUGUACUCUGCCUGCACUAGUUUGUUGUUUGUAUGGCAUGUGCCAUGUUAUAAGCUCGAGGGUUUUCUUUUUUUUUGGUAUGUUUAUGAGUGUUUGCAUUAUCAAGCAAGUGUUUGUAUUAUCAAGCUUCGAGUGUUUGUAUUAUCAAGCUUCAAUUGUUUGCCCUAUCAUUGAUGAAUGUUUGGCUAUGUUUGCAUAGAUCCUUUGUAUAGUCUUGUUGACAUAUACCUAGAUUUUAUUUUGUAUUGGAAACAUGUGCGUUGAAGCUUCAACACUUGAGUGUUUCAUUGCUCAGAAUGUAAAAGAGUUUAGGGCCGAGUUGGCUAAAUCACCUCUUUAUUGAAUUCAUACCAAAUGGUCUUUUGUUACAUAGGAUGCCGAACGGCUGUAGCUUAACACUUGUACAAUGUAAGUCUAUUUGUAAUAGUACUUCAAGUGGUCAGCAUUCCAUGGAUGGCCAAGGGUCUUGCCGUCAGAGCUUCUGAGCUUGUAGGAGCCAAGGCGGCUGAUGCCGACGACCUCGAACGGUCCGUCCCAGUUAGGACUGAGUGUUCCUUCACUCGGGACUCUAUCACAGAGUAAUCUUUUCUUCAGUACCCAGUCUCCCACUUUGAAAGAGCGAGGUUUGACCUUUGAGUCGUAGUAGUUGGAGAUGCGUUGCUUGUAGGCGACAUUCCUCAGGUGAGCCUGAUUUCUGUGUUCCUCGACUAGAUCCAGGUUGAGGGUGAGUUGCUUGUCAUUCUCACUCUGUAUGUAGUUCUGGAUUCGGUAUGUUGCUUGCUCAAGCUCAACCGGGACAACUGCUUCUGUACCAAAAGCAAGUGAGAAUGGAGUUUCUCCUGUGGAAGUCCGAUAUGAAGUGCGGUAUGACCAAAGAACUUGAGGUACGAAUUCUGGCCAACAACCUUUAGCUUUGUCCAAGCUAGUUUUCAGAGUGCGCUUGAUUAUUUUGUUAACGGCCUCGACUUGUCCAUUAGACUGGGGAUGGGCUGGAGAGGUAAAACAUAAGUUGAUGUUGAACUUAGAGCAAAACAUCUUGAACUUCUUGUUGUCAAACUGCCGCCCAUUGUCCGUGACUAUCGCAUUGGGAAUGCCGAAUCUGCAGAGGAUGUUCUUCCAUACGAAGUCCUCUAUUUUUCCCUCAGUAAUGGUUGCCAAGGGUUCUACUUCAGCCCACUUUGUGAAGUAGUCAACUGCAACGAUUGCAUAGCGGACCUUGCCUUUCCCUGCAGGCAUUGGGCCGAUCAAAUCAAGUCCCCAUUGGGCAAAGGGCCAAGGGCUGAUCAUAGGAGUGAGCGGCUCGAGAGGGGAGUGAGGGAUAGUUGCGUAGCGUUGACACUUAUCACAUGAGCGUGAUAUUCUGAUGGCAUCCUGGUGGAGUGUUGGCCAAUAGUAUCCUUGGCGAAAAGUCUUGUGUGCUAGGGAUCGAGACCCAGCAUGAUCUCCGCAGACUCCUUCAUGUAUUUCCCGAAGGACAAUUUCCGCCUCCACAAAUGUAAGGCAUCUUAGGUAUGGCAGGGUAAAACUGCGCUUGUAGAGUUGGUCAUUAAUGAUCAGGUAGCGGGCAGACUUGUAUCGGAUCUGCUUAGCUUGGACUUUGUCAUUUGGGAGGGUGCCAUGAGCAAGGAAUUUAUAAAUUGGGGUGAUCCAACUAUCUCCUUGCUGUAAAUUGCACACUUCCAUGACCAUGGUGCUUGGUGCUGCCAACAAUUCGACAUGAAUUUUUCUCCCAAUCUUGUCUUCUACUGCCGAGGCGAGGCGAGCUAAAGCGUCUGCAUGACUGUUUGCCGCUUGAGGAACUUGGGUGAUCUGGUAGUGGAAGUGCUUGAGCAAAAGUCGUGUUUGCGCAAGAUAUGCUGCCAUGGAGCUAUCCUUAGCAUCAAAGUUGUUCGUGACUUGGUUGACCACUAAUUGAGAGUCACUGAAGAUAUCAAUUCGUUUAACCCCGAGGUGCUUGGCCAAACGUAAGCCUGCUAGAAGGGCUUCGUAUUCGGCCUCGUUGUUUGAUGCCUUGAAUUUGAAACGAAGAGCGUAUUCCAUCGCCACUUUGUCGGGGGUAGUGAGGACUAAUCCUGCUCCGCAGCCUUGUUGGUUGGAUGAGCCAUCAACAUACAGACUCCAUGCUGGGGUUGUUGAUUCUAUCUUCUGAGCUUCCGAUGGUAAUGAAGCUACUGCUUCAGGUGUAGAAGCAAUGUCAACAGGAUAUGUGAAGUCGGCUAUGAAAUCUGCUACAACCUGACCCUUUUCGGCUGGUUUUGGUUGGUAGGAGAUGUCAAACUCACCCAAUGCUAUCGCCCAUUUGAUCAUUCGUCCAGACGUGUCAGGACUCUGGAGUAUCUGUCGAAGAGGGUGAUUGGUAAACACGAUGAUGGCGUGUGCUUGGAAAUAAGGGCGAAGUUUUCGAGCAGACAUAACCAAUGCUAGAGCUAAUUUCUCAAUGUUGGAGUAUCGUGUCUCCGCAUCUUGUAGGGCCUUGCUAGCGUAGUAAACGGGCCGUUCGACACCACUGUCCUUUCGAAUAAGAACAGAACUGACUGCUGAAGCCGAAACCGAUAGAUAGAUAAUGAGAGUGUCACCAAUUUCUGGUUUGGAGAGCAGAGGGGCUUUACUCAUGUAUUCUUUGAGGUUCCUGAAUGCCUUGGCACAUUCCUCCGUCCAUGUAAUGUACUUCUUAUUUCCCUUGAGUGCUUUGAAGAAAUGAGCACAUCUGUCUGUGGCCUUAGAGAUGAAUCUGGUUAAGGCUGCCACCUUGCCAGUAAGGCUUUGGAUAUCUUUUGAAGUUACGGGCUCUUUCAUGUCGAGGAUUGCUUUGAUCUUUUCGGGGUUAGCUUCAAUACCUCGUUGGCUAAUCAUGAAUCCUAAGAAUUUGCCAGAACCCACGCCGAAGGCACAUUUAUUGGGGUUCAACCUCAUUCGAUACAUCUUUAGAAUGGUGAAAGUUUCAGAUAGGUUGGUGAUGUGUUGGUCAGCAUGUUUGCUCUUGACUAGCAUCUCAUCAACGUAAACUUCCAUGCUCUUCCCAAUCUGUUCGGCGAACAUUGAAUUGACCAGUCUCUGAUAAGUUGCUCCUGCAUUCUUUAGGCCGAAAGGCAUGACCUUAUAGCAAUACAGUCCCCUGUCAGUAGUGAAAGCCGUGUGUUCUUGGUCUGAGGGGUUCAUGAGGAUUUGGUUGUAUCCUGAAUAAGCGUCCAUGAAGCUCAAGAGCUCACACCCUGCCGUAGAGUCUAUAAGUCUAUCAAUGAGAGGAAGAGGGAAACUAUCCUUCGGGCAUCCUUUGUUUAGGUCGGUGUAGUCGACACACAUUCUCCACAAGACCUUUUGAAGCAGGAGACUUUCCUUGGUCGGAUUUUUCUUAACAAGGACAACAUUUGCUACCCAUGUUGGGUAAUUGACUUCACGGACGAAGCCUAUGUCCUUGAGUUUUUCAACUUCUGCUUUCAUCGCCUCGUAUCGCUCAACAUCAUAAGAUCUUCGCCUCUGUUUUACUGGUUUGGUCUUGGGAUCAAUACUCAAGUGGUGACAGAUGAUAUCGGGAGAGAUGCCCGGCAUAUCUUUAUAUGACCAAGCGAAGACCUCGGCGUUCUCUUGCAAAAAGGAGAUCAGCGACAACCGAAGGGGUGGUGACAAAGUAGUGCCAAUCUUCACCAUGCGGUCUGGAUGGUCUUUGGAGAUAGAGACAUUCUCUAACUCUUCAGCGGGUUGUGCUUGCUGGGUGAAGGAGUCAUCUCGAGGGUCGUCGGGUUGACUGUUGCUAUCCUGAAGACCCGAGUUGGAUUCAUCUGGGCUGGUCUUUACGACUUGGUUAUGUAUAGAGAGAGUCUCCUUGGGGACAGGCAGGUGUUGUUUGACUGAAGUGUUGUAACAUGAUCGAGCACUAAGUUGAUCUCCCCUGAUGUACCCAUUGCCGAAAGGGGUUGGAAACUUCAUCAACAACAUAUGUGUGGAUACCAUGGCCUUGAGAUCAUUGAUGCCUGUGCGCCCAAAGAUGACAUUGUAUGCCGUCGGGCAAUUGACCACUAAGAAGUUAGUGGUAAUAGUAGCUGUGUAGUGGCCUGUACCAAUGGUGAAGGGUAAGUGUAUACUCCCUAAAGGUUGCACGAUAUCGCCAGAGAAGCUUAUCAGAGGAGAAAUCGAGCGAUCGAGCAAGUGUUCAGCUACAUUAAGUGCCUUGAAAGCUUCAGCAAACAUGAUAUUGACUGAAGCACCUGUGUCUAUCAGGAUUCGUUUCACAUCAAAAUUUGCUAUGUGAGCUUCCACGAUCAGCGGGUCAUUAUGAGGGUAGAUGAUACCUCUUUCUUCCUCAGGGUAGAAACAUAUUGGAUCCCAGUUAGGCUUUUGAUACUUGCCUCCUCUGAUGUCUUCCACGUGAAACACUUGAUGGCCAGGUCUCAAAGUUCGUUCACUGUUUUUCAUGGCCCUAUUGGAAGAUUCAGACAUGGGUGUGCCGCCGCUUAUGGAAUAUAUCACAUUCACCUGGCGUUGGUUACGGUUAUCCCUCGAAGGGUGAAGGAGGAACUGAUCGAUUUUUCCUUCACGUGCCAGAGCUUCAAUAUGGUCACGGAGGAUAAUGCACUUUUCACUAUCAUGGCCAUUAUACUCGUGGUAGCAGCAAAACAUUCCCGUGUUCUUCGUGGACUUGUAAUCUGGCUGUCUUGGCUUUGGCUUUGGUAUCAGGUGAGCUAUACUGGGGUAGAUGGCAGCACAUGUAGCAUUCAAAGAGGUGUAUGUCUCAUACCUCGGGGUAGGGCCUGUCUUGACACGUGAUUGGCCCACUGCGUUGACUGCCUGGGGGCGGGCAUUAUUGUGACGAUAUCCUGAGUUAUCGCGAUAGUGCCCCUUAUUCUUUUUAUUAAAAUGAGAUUGGUGAGGAUGGAAGUCUUUCCUUUUGCCCUGAGAUUGAUAUGUCUGCUGACUUGGCGAAGCAUUAAAUGAGGCAGGGGGGUGUGCUGCUACCACUUGGAAGGUUGAGGUCUUUUCAUCGGUUGGAUCUGGCCUCCACUCCCUACUUGCUGAUAAGGGGUGACUGUAGGGGGUUUCCCUUGAUAUGUCCUUGCCUCGGCGGAGGCAUGGUUGUAAGCUUGUGUCAUCACCUCAGAGUAAGUCUUCCAAGUGUUAGCAUUGAUCAUGUACUUGAAGAAACAGUCACGUAAGCCUGCCGUGAAAGCCUUGAGGGCGGUCUUGUCAUCUGCCUCAGCGCAGCGAGAAUACUCAUGGCUGAAGCGGCCAGCGUACUUUCAUAAUGACUCGUCCGGCUUCUGGUGAAUAGUGUACAAGUCAUCUGCGGAAUGCAAGCGAUCGGUCUGGAAGAUGUGUUGAGAGACAAACAGCUUCCUCAACUCUUCAAAUGAGUCUACCGUCUCAGGUGGAAGACGACAAUACCAGUUUAAAGCUCCGCCAGAGAGGGUGGAGGGGAAGAGAAGGCACCGUUCUUCGUCGGUGUGUCCCCGGUAUACCAUGGUGGACUCAAAGAGGUUAAGGUGUUCAAUCGGGUCUUCCUUUCCAGUAUAGAGCUGUAAGUCAAGCUUCUGCUUUGUCUUCGCUUGGAGGGGAAUGUUGAGGAUCCUUCUUGUGAGAGGGCCAGGCCUGGGUUGGUUCCAAUCAGGUAUCUUGGCUUGACGUUCAGCCUUCAGCUUGUUUACUUCUUCAAGAAGCUGCAGGACAAGGGGGUCCUGAGCGGAGUCGUGCACCACCGAAGUUUUCUUCUUUAAGUCCCCAUCGCCUCUUGGAAGUAGGAAAGUUUGAUCAAGAUAGUGUGAUCUUUCUCUAGACUCGCCAUACUGACUUCUAGAGUGAGUAUGUCGGAAUGUUUCCGAAUCCCCAGUACAUUCAUAUUCUUCUGGGACUUGUUGCCCAUUCUCUAGAUUGGCGGCUGGCCUGGGUCGUGGAAGAGGACCGAGUCUUUCAGAAACCCUUGGGUCAUUGAUCUUCGAGCUUAUGUGGAUGAGAUUCUCUCGACGUUGCUUUAGGAAGUCUCGACAAUCGCGAUAGACAGCUUUUGAUCCUUCCGCUCCCUCUGUGAGGAGGUGUUUUCCUCUACUUCUCCUGCUUCGGGUUGAAGCAGCUGGGUUGAGAGAAGUCUCAUGUUGAUUAUCACAUUGAUGUGUAGCUCGAUCCCUAUCAGGGAUGUCCGUGUCGGAUAUCGGCGACCCUCCGUGUUGGGGGGCAUUCAGUUGAUUGUUGACCUCAACAGGGGCGACGAGCUUAUGUGUUUGAGCCUGCCUAGCCUCGUGAAGCAUCUCGAAAAGUUUUUCAUAUUGUUCCUGGAGGACUUCAUUCUUCAUCGCUAUCUUGUUGUUCUGAACUUCUAGCUCAUCGACUUUAGCUUGAAGAGUAACUUUAUUUCCUUCAUGUUUUCGCUGCUUCAUACUAGGUCCAGCGGGGGUGUCAUUCGGUGUGCUGUGGCUUCUUUCGCUCCCCAUGUUGGAGAGAGAUGCUUGGCCAAAAGAAAGUGUACAAGCGGUGGAAACCAGCUUGACAAAGCUGAAGAGAGUGGGAGUAAGUGUCUUUCCCACAGACGGCGCCAAAUGUUGAUGCACAAAAUCAGCGAGGACUUUGGUACAACAGAAAGUGUCAGGUUUUGUGACCUUCGCUUGGUUGCUUCGGUCACUAGUGAGGAUAAGUACGUAAAUGAAUAGAGAUAGAGAAGCAAACACAGGAUGUACGUGGUUCACCCAGAUUGGCUACGUCCACGGAGUUGAGGAGUUCUCAUUAAUUGUGAAGGGUUUACACAAAUACAUAGGUUCAAGCUCUGGUUUAGUGAGUUCUAGUGAAUAGUUUAGUACAAAAUGACAUUAGAGAUUAUUGUGGGAGUAUGACCCCUAUUUAUAGAAGAGAGUUUCUAGUUUUGUUCUGACAUUGACACGUGUCGUGUUGUGACGUGUCGUGCUGUGGUUGGCUUCUGAUGUCGACACGUGUCGCAUUGUGAUUGGCCUCCCGGUUGAAGGGAAGCUCUUCUGGAUCCUUGAUGGUAUAACGUUGACCGGUGCUCAGUAGUUUCGGGAUUGGUCAAGUAUGGUACAAACAAAUACUAUAGAAUAUUUAAAUGGUCCGUAGGGUGGUUGAAUCUAUCCACAAAUGUCCCAUUUGAAUCCUUUGUAAAAAGAUGGAGGGUGCUAAGGUAUAAUACGUGUCCAGGUAUGAUUUCUUUACUUCUGGUAAAAGGAUGCCCAAAACGGCGCAUCACGAAUCAUCCUAGAUAUCCCAAACGUACAUCCAUAGCGAAAAUUCCUUAGGAAUCGCGGGCUUCUGGCCGGCCACAUAGUGGACUUGAAUGGAUGUAAUCCAUUCGUUAAGCGUUCCAUCUUCUCUAGAAUAUGCAUUUAACUAUAUUCGUAAGAAGUGCAAAAUGGUAAUAUGCCAAGGAAUUUUACUCCAUUUUUCUACAUUGGUUUCAAUAUGGUAAUAAUACUCUCGAAUAUCCUUAAAGAUCAAAAAUGCGUUCUUCCGGAACGAAGUGAGUAUAAGGCUUCCCUUUAUGGUAAAGUUAAUACCAUUGGACAAUAUAGGGCAGUGCCAUGCCCCACAAUCAGGUUGGAUAAGCCUGAAAGGUUGUCGGGGGAUGAUUAGGUAUGAAGUUAGCAUAGAACCAGACAGCUAACUUCCCCACAAAACAUACCUAAGCAUGAGUUAAUUGUAGUCACAUGUGGUAAUCUUCGUUAAUUAACUCUUUUAUUCGAGAAUAAUGGUGACAUCCAAACACUAAUCUUAAAUCCGAGAACAAAAUAAAUUAUUCACAAAAUAAACCAAAAAAAACAAUGGGGUUCGGCCAAUAGGCCGUCCAUGUCAAAUUUCGCUCUUCCAAAUGUAUUAGGUGGAGCAAAAUGAGUCUUCACAAAUGGACUACGAGAAUUGUACCUAUUCAUAGACGUAACAGUUUCAAUCAUGUUUUGCUUCAGGCAAAAAUUCAUCUUUGCAUGAUUUGAAACAGUCCAUAACGGAUUUGAAGAGUCAUGGAGUCCUCAGCAGGGAGGUACUUCCAUUGGAUAUGCUUUAGGCAUAAGUCUUCGAAUAAGGAUCAUGGCGGAUGCUUAUUCACGUCUUGUAUCCACAUAAAGUAGUUUACUAUUCGAAACUUCCAAAUCAGUGAAAUCGAACUUGUUACGGUUCGACAAUACGCUGAAUGGAGGAAACAAGAAUGUGAUUGGUGUUUUAGGAAAUAAAAUUUCCAUAAACAACAAAUUUAGAACAUUCAGGUUCUUAAGACAUGGUUUGGUUUAAACGGAUUUAAGCAUGGAGAACUUCGGGUCUCAACAUGAGUGUUGCGCAUUAAGAAACUUCAGGUUCAUAUGGCACUUUUCCGAAACUUCGGGUUCGGAAGUAUGAACUUUUAAGUUCAUAAUAUCUGCAGACAAACACAAAUAUAUAUGCAAGCAAAUAUACAACAAGGAUAUACAAAGAUAUAACUUCAGGUUUAUAAUUAUAAUUUAAUUAAUUUAUUUGGACUUCGGGCCAAAUUAAAAUGUGGGUGAAAAAAAUAUAAAACCCAUUAGGCCUAAAAAAAAUUAGGCGAAUAAAAUUCGGGGUCAAAACAAAAAAAACUAAGUCACGGGUGACUUGAAAAAAUUUGGUCCAUACUACCUAGGCCCAAAAAUUGGGCUAGGGGUCUCGGGUGUAGGCUGUAGGCCUACGGGGAGGGGGCUGGGCUGCUGCAGGCAGUCCAAGAAAAUGUUUUUUUUUUCGCGGGCCGCUUCAGGCGAGCCCAAAUAAAUUUGUUUUUUUCUUUUUUUUUCGUUUUUUUUCUUUUCUGCUGGCCGAGAAGAAAAUGGGCCAAAACAAGGGUAUGUAUGGGUCACUGUAGGUGAGCCCAAGACACCAAGCGAAACGGGCCGAGAGACAGAGCCCAAAUGGGGCUCGGGGAAGGUCCAAAACAUCCCAACCGUAGCUGGGUGUGUUCAUCGGGGAAGGACACCGGAAUUAGUGGACGGCGCCGUGUCAACCGGCGUUUCCAAGGUCGAGACAAGUUCGUAAGUCUACGAAAACCACAAAUAUGAACGGAGAUUUGAAAAAAUCUCGAUAUUUGUUGUGAAAAACCCUAUAAUUUCGAAUCGAAAUCUUGGGAAACCUAAUGAAAUUUAAUUUGAAAUUUCAUACAAAUUAGAUGAAAUUCUUCAGGAAUUUCAGUGAGAUUGGAUCAAAGAUCAUGAUUCCAUGUCGGAUUGAUGCAGAAAAUCACACGACAAAGCCGUGGUGUCGCUUCAGGCGAUGUGUAUUUUCUGGGUUUGGGACGCCAUGGGCGUCAGGUUUCCAACGGGGUCACGGGUUCCCUCAUAGGGACUCGGUGUGUGACUCACAGUGUGAGGGUGGUCUGCAGGCCAUCUUAUGAUGGUGGUGGACGCCGUGGUUGGCGUCGGGUUGUCCUGGGUUUCAACCUGAGUCUCGGCUCGGGGACUCGAUGCAAGCUCCAGGCCUGGCGAGGGAGUGGUUGGGCCAUCGCAGGCUACGGGCCUGGUGGCUUGUGAAAGCAUGGGUUCGAAGAACCCUAAUUCCCCGAUUCCAAAUUUUUCAAAUUCAAUUAUAGGCAUAUAUAAUUCCAUGAAUCACAUAUAAUUCCAUGAAUCACAUAUUUACCUUGAUGCAUAUGCAAAUAAUGGUUUCAAUGCAUGUACAUAUGUAAGAUUCAAUUCAUGAAAAAUAUCAAAUUCACAUAAUUGUAGCAAUUUUGGUUAUGAGGCAUACACAAUUUAUGUAGAAUCUAAAAUACGUUAAACGUAAAGUUGGGUCAUGCAUCAUGGUGAAUGUUCAUGCGAUCAGGGCUUCAAAAAUAUCGAGUUAAAAGCCGUUGUUUUGAAGAACCUGAUUGCGUGAUGAUAUGAAUGAACUGGUUUGAUGCAGAAAAAUUAUUUCUUCAAUUUCGGCUUUCAUCUUCAAGCUUGUAUCACGUUCAACAUAAGAAGAAAAAUAAAUUGAAUCAAUAAAAGAAUAUGAAUUCAAUAAAAUUAAAAUUUAAUCAAUUAAAAAUAAUUGAAACGUAAUACUCCCCUGAUUGAAAAUGAAUAAAUUCCCUUUAAAUUCUUCUAAGCACAGCGUGAAGAGCGUGCUGAUAACGUGUUGUGGCCUAUAUUUAAUAGAUAGGUGCGGCAAAGAGAAGAAGAGAGAAUGGAGAAUAGGUUUGAGGAAUUGUGUGUUAAUUCCCCAGUCCUUGUGCCUUUAUUUAUAGUAAUUAGGAGGAGAGAAACUUGCUCUCCAAGUAAUACAAAGUAUAUUAGGAAAGAUCUUCUAGAUCCCAAAGGAUUCCUAUUUUAUCUCUACUUAGGAUUUACACAAUCACAUAUUGAUAAGAACAUAUGUCACAACAUCAUAAUAAUUUGAUAUCUAACCCAUAAUACCUCUCACAUAUCUGUUUGCCUUAACCUUUGUACUACAGUCCAAUUUCCUCCAACCUGAUAUCUAACUAUCUAAGUCACACAUCCUUAUUGUCUGUCAUAUUUGUAACGUUCAAGUUUCAGAAACGCCAAAGUAAUGAGUUUUCCAAAAAAAAAAAAAAGCCAAAGUAAUGCGUUUUGGUAAUUCAAUUAUUGUGAUGGGUUUUUAGCCUUAGUGGCUACCAAAAGGGCAUUUUCUUGCAGAAUUGUUCUUGAUAGAAUCUAUGAAAUAAAUAAAAGUCACAUAUCUUCAAUUUUCUUGCUGAAUUGUUCUUGAUUAAUUUAGUUAGAGCUGUGUGUAUGUGUUUUAUGUUUAUGUAAAUCUUGAAAAUAUUCUCUUUGUCAAAUUUUAGGGGGUGUAUUCAAUUGGGAUUUUGAGGAAUUUUAAUUCUUUUAAUGAAUCUAAGAGUAUUCAAUCAAGAUUUUAAGUGAUUCUUUGAAAUUCAAGGUAUAUUCAAUUAGAAUUUUAAAAUAGUUUAUUAAAAUCCUUAGAAAUCUGGGUGUAUUCAAUUAGGAUUUUAAAGAAGUUUAUAACAUUCUAGGUGUAUUCAAUUAGAAAUUGAUUUUAAAGAAUUUGAAAAGGUUGAGGAAUUAGAGGGAAUUUGAGAGAUUUCGUAGUGUAUUUUAAGCAUCCACAAAUCGCACAUCUUCCCAUGAGAUUUCGAGGGAAUUGAAUCAAAAUUUUAUAUGGAAUAUCUACAAAUCAAUUAAACUCCAUAAAAAUUUAAUGAUUUAUAAAUCCAUUAAAGCCUCUCAAAUUCUCAAUUGAAUACACCCCCUUAGAAUCGAUGAUAUAAAUAGACAUUUUAUUAUCGUAUAUAGCUAAUUUGAUUAAAACAAUGUGUUUAUUGCAUGGAGUUUUGACUCAGUAACAGUUUAAAUUGAUUAAAAGAUUGCUUAAAUAUAUGUGUAUUUUCUAACGAGGAUUAGUUGAGUUGUAAAGUCUAUGUUUGAGUUCCAUUGCAAGCAACCAUUUUUGGUAUGUGAUCUGUAAAAACCAAAAAAAGACUAAGACCCCUUGUGUGAGCUCUCGAGAAGACUUGUGGUAUGCCCUGACCUUGAUGGAUUAGUUUUCCUUUCCCCUAAACUUUUACAAAUCAAAUAUAUAAAUAAGUUAUUUAGUAGUCACUUAGUAUUAUGAUUUAAUAGUAUUCAUUUUGACAUGUAAGUGAGGAGAAAUUUUUCAGUUUGUUGUGAACACUAAACAUGACUUGAUACACCAAGUAUCAUAAUAAAAUAGUUUGAUUUUUUUUUUUUGUUUCUAACCAAUUGUAUUAUUACAACGUGUUUCUAGUAAAUUGAAAAAUCUCCUAUAAAUAAGAAGUUUUAAGUUCGAUUCUCGUCAAGGUGAAUUCGAACCAAACUAUUAUGAUUGUCUCAUUGUGAAGCUAAACUCACUCCCUCCACAACUUAAUGUACAUAAUAUCAUAUUAUUAAAAAAACUAUUUAUUCAGUAAUUAUUUUUAUUUUAUUACAAUUUAAACUACCGACUUUGCCUGUCAUUCCCAGGGAAUGCACGUCGCAGAGUACAACACCGCUUUAGAGCUUCCAAAUUCAAACCACUUAGGUUUUUCCGUUUCCCAACGCUCUUAUGUAGAUCCGACUCUGCCCCCAAUUCCUAGGCAACGCAUAUUGCGGAGUAUCGAUCUAAUGUUGAAAGUCGUCCAACAAUCCAAUUCAUCACUGCUGAGGCACAGUCCUGACACGAAUUCUAGUAUUUCAACCAGAAUGUGACAAUUCAAAUAGAGAAAGGUUCGCACAACUGCGUCGAAUGGCACUAAAUCCGGAAGUCGUGACAUCCAAAUGAAGUCAUGACAGACACACUAUUACCGUAAGAGAAGAUUCUACGUAUGCUCUGAACAGACCACGCUCUAAUACUAAUCUGACACGCCCCGAUCUCAAUAUUCCCCGAAUACCAGGAUAGGCACGUGUUGGCCGACACCCGAGAGUGACGAAAGCUAUUUAUUGAGUGCAAAUGCUGAAAACAAGGGAUAGAUGAAACUUAUAAAUGUAAAAUAAUAAAGAAUAUACAUUUAAGUAACGUGUUCAGAGCACACAUCUAAUCUAGAACACUAAAAGAAUUAAUAUAAAAAUUGAAUGAACACAGAAGUGGGUCCUACACCGAGAGGACUCGAAGAUACCGAUGCGGAAGUGCCUGGAUGCCGGGAUUGUAUGCCUCGAUUCUAAGUCCUGAAGGGGGCGUAAACAAACAUGAGUGGACCAAUUUGAUAUAUAAGUAGUGAAACAGUUAUCAACGUACUAACCCCCAGGUUUUAUGAAAACACAUAUAUAAUGAUAAACAUAGGUUUUCCGAAACCUAGCAUGAUGUGCAAUGUCUCAAAAUCAUAACUUGUAUAUAUAAUAAUCACUAGUGAAUUGUUCGAUAACCUCUAGGCCCCAUGCCGGCUUCCCGUCUCUGAGUAGACAGUUAGAGGAAAAUACACUUCAAGCCUCAUGCCAGCUCCCCGUCCCUGUGCUAAAUAGCCAGAUGAAACACACUCCAAGCCCUAUGCCAACACCAAACCGUCGCCCGGGACGGACCGGAAUCUAUCCCUACGUCCCGUAGUGGAAAUGACCACUAGGUAAGUACAAAACCACUGAACAUAUAUAUCUUGAAAAGCAACUUCAUAGUAUAAAGUCAUCCAUCAUCUAUACUAUAAAGAGGUGUUCGAAACAUAUUCUAAAUAUCAUAUCGUCAUCCAUCGGAUAUUCUAUAAGAACAUGGGUUAUAGGAAAAAUAGUAAUAAUUCAAAAUAGUCUCAAUAAGCAUGUUAUCUCAAAGCGUUUCAUAGAACAUAAUCAUUAAAUCAUGAUUUUCCAUGCAUUUCUACUAUUAAAACAUGCAUUUUUAGAAGGGGUCCAUUCAUAGUACUUCGCCGCCGAAGAGCCACGCAACUAGUGAAGACAGAAACGCCACUAUAAUUGCCCCUAAGCACAUAAAGGGCUCAAUUAAUAAAACUAUAUAAUAGCAAUUGAAUUUGGGAAAACGGACAUUGGAAACGGAUUCAAAACGUCGAAUUACCCUAAGAAGGGUCCCGGAUAAAUUUCGUAAACGUCAAUAGAAUAUUCCCUGAAUAUUCCCUAAUAGAAUAUUCCUUAACAGAAUAUUCUCCAUAAAUGGUUUUGGGCCGACUAGGGUUUAGGGUUAGGACUUGGGUUAGGUUUAGGUUUAGGAUAAAGGGUUAAUGGGUUUAGGUUAAUUAGGUGGGCUAGGUUUAGAGGAAAGGGCUUAGGGCCCUGGUUCAAAAGGCCCGAAGGCCUUAAGCCUAAGGGUUUUUGGGUUUCUAGAUAAAAAAGGCUUAGGGCCAUAGCUAAUUUGGCCCAAAAGCCUUUAACUUAAAACAAUUAAUAAAAUAAAUAAUAAAACUAAAAUGGGUUUUGGGUUGGGCUCGUCAAGAAAGACCCAAAGGGUCUGGGUUUGGUGGGUCGCCAGACCCACGGAUGAAGAAGGCCGAAAUUCGGCCGGAAAUCUACACUAACUUUAAACGGCCAUAACUUUGUCAAAACGCAUCAAAAUCGAGUGAUUUAAAAAUAGAAAUCAUAGCCCUUGAAGAGACAAAGAGAAUGGUACCUCACACGAUGUCUAACUUGCCGUAGUUGGGCUGAAAACGCCUCGAAAGCCACUGAUGUCGCCGGAAACUGGGUAAGAUUCAAAUGGAUAUAACUUCUUCAAUACUCAACGAAAUUGAGUGAAACAAAAAGGAAAGUUGUAGUUCUCAGCGAGACGAAGAGAUUGAUACCUUGUACGCAGGCAAACUUGUUGUAGUUUGGCCGAAACUUGCCUCGAAAGUGGCGAUCUGCGUCGGAGCUCGUGUACGGGGCUUCAUGGUUCGACUUCCAAGAUGCCAAGACUAUGGUUGAGUUCAUAGCGACGAGAUAAAGAUGAUGGUGAUGUUGAAAUUGUGAUUUGAUGAUGAUUUUAGGAUAUGGGUUAUGGGUGUGGCACGGUGAAGGAGAAGAAGAAAAAGAGAGUGAGGGAGAGUGACGGGAAAGAGAGGGAAGAAGUAGACCAAAAAGGGGAUGGGCCUCACGUGGCACACAAUUUAACACCAAAAAUAAUUUUAAAAGAAAACAAUACCCAAAACAAAAUGAAAUUACAUUACUUUUAGGGGUGGGGCUUUACAUGAAGGAGUGAAUAUUAUGUAUUAUUCAUAGCAGGUAUGGCUAUGUCACUCCUGACAAUGUGCCGGAAUUGCUUGAUCAGCAUAUUGGGAAAGGGAGAUCAUCGAACGACUUUGGAGGUUUGUGCGUUUUUGGUUUUGCUUACCCCCUUCUGAUGAAAAUUUCCCUGGAACUGAAGCAUCUGUCAUAUUUUUGGAUUGCUGAUUAUUUCUAGUGUUGUAUGAUAGAUUAUUGAUAUUGAGUUGCAUUAACAUCGAGAAACCAAAUCAAACAACCUUUUUAUAUUGAUAAACCAAACCAGAGGUGGUUUGGGGAACAGGGGAUAUGGUCAAGUAGGCACUUUACAGAGAUGGAGAAAGCGAAGCAGAUCUAGCGAAUUGGAUAACGUCAUUACCCUGCAUAUAUUUCUGAUUUGUAAUGUUCUUCUGAUUAAUUGUUGUCAAAUUGUGUAUUAAGCAUGAUCAUACAUGUUCUUACUCAAUUGCUAUUGACGAAACUUAGAGUUGAAUCUUUAAAUAACUGAACACGAAAUUCAAUUUCAUUCCUUACAGGGGCCGAAUGGGAGUAUCUUCUGAUGAAGCUGAAAAAAUUAAUGACCUGAAGCUUCCAAAUGGAGGAGAAAGUAAGAAAAUCAAGGAGAAGCCCAAAGAAAAUGGCAAUCAGAUUUAGAAAAAUGAGAACUUUUCAGGCUGUUGCCAGGGUGCUAGUAGUAAUGGAUUUACAUGCUGCAAAGAAGUAAGUUUGGGGCAGAACGGUGGAAGUGAGGAAAAGAAGCUGAAAGAAACCAGAGAGUCGUGUGCCAAAAAGGAUGCCUUAGGGAAGCUGCCAAGCUUGAUUGGGAACUGGGAGCAAAGUGAUGUUCUCGCAGCUGCUGCCGUGGUUGGAGCAGUGGCAACAGUGGCUGUGACCUAUAGCUUUUAUAGAAGGUCAGGCUGAAACGUACUCUAAUCCAUGUCGGGUUCUGCCACGGGUGUCGAGGCCCUAUAUUUUUCUCUUUGUAGAAAGAUGUUAUAACGUCAAUUAAAUAAGCUCUUAUAUAUGAAAGGAGAAUCUGGUAGCUACACUAAAUGUUCAUUUUUGGAGGGUGGGAUGACUUCCCGAAGCUAAGCCAUAUACAGUUACAAAAAUAUUCACUAUUCCUUUCCGUAGUUGAUUGCGUACACGACUGAUUUGUUGUUCCAAUAUACUGUUGAAUGGUUUUAUCUUGAUAGUGGGAUUUUUUAUGAGACUACUUUGAUGUGGUGUUGUCUAAGCUCUUGUUAUUGUUUUUGAUUUGCCUGCUGGACUCGUAGAUAGCAAAGCUCAGAGUUUGGUCGAGAUCAUCGUCCACUGCUGAUCUUUGAUAGCAUCUCCUCCACCAGCCUCAAUACCGUUGUACUCAUCCCAUCAACUUUUUCUCCCCCAGCAUCAGUGUCCUGCAUAAUCUGCUCUAUAUCCUUAUUCCUCGACUGCUUGUUUCUCGAACCGUAAUUGGAACAGUCUUUCAAGAGAAACAGUAACUCCUGUGCCGUGGCCUUAGCCGUCCACGUCCCAUCCAUGCUCAGCUGAAGCAGUCCGGGCAUUGCUCCUUCUCUCAGUAUCAGUCCUCUGUACUUCUCUCUGCAGCUGUGGCAUAUAAGCCGGAAGAUACUGUGUGCUCCUUGCAUUUCGUCGAUCCCUCUUCAAUUGUCUCAACAAGUGCCCAGAUUAUGUCGCACGUACCCGCAGUUUCCUUCAGCGCAGUCUUCGAUGAAGAAACAAUGUCGUCAAGUAGCGCAAUUGCCUUCUCAACUAGUUGGCUUGAUUUUUCCAACCCGUGAAUUAUUUGUAACAACUAUAACACUACGCCCGAAGAGACGUAGUCUGAUGGCAGGUUGAGAGGUUGUGUAGUGUGGCUAUGCUGUCGAGUUUCGCUUGCACACCGAUGCCUCCAGCAUAAUCUUGAUCGAGAAAUUCAACUAUUAGUUGGAUGCCUCCGUGUGAUGCAUUUUGUAGCUUGUUUCCCUUGCAAGACGAUAGGAUCAAAAAAGCUGCCAUCGUGAGCUCGAUCAUCGCCUUGCUUUCACAGCUAAAUUGAUCCUUACUUUGUGCAAGUAAAUUACUUAUUUACGACAUUGAUCCUUCUGACGUAAGCUACAAAUGUCUCCUCUAGCUAAAUUUUGUUAAUUACUGUUCACAAAAUAAAGAUAGAUAGUCAUUUAGUUGGCCGGUUGGAGUUUAAUUUUCUGCAUCUUUUGUUAAGAUAGGUUGUUGGAGAUGAGGUCUUUUCCCAUUGAUACUCUCUAGGCUGACUCCAACGAAGAUUCUUCUGUCCACCAGCAGGGGCAGUUGGACCGACCUGCGCACCAACCUUAAAAUACAAUAAGGUCGUCAUCUGGUCAGAGUUGGGCGGCAGAUUUCUCAAAAGACUACAACAAAAAAUAUGGAAAUUGCAUCGUAAGCAGUUAUACAAUUUUUAAAUUUGAUGGUAACAUUUAUACAUAUCAAACUGUGGGGGAAUAGCACUCACGCGUUAUCGACACGGCAGUGACAUCAUUGGCCCAUGCUAAAUAUUUAAAGGGGCCACCUUCACUGGGGAAUGUUGGGAAAGACUUGACUCUGGUUUUUUGAAAGCCAAGCUGCACUUCUACAGGCUGCAAUGGAUACCAGCAGCUCCGCCCAUGGAGCUGGCUCUGCCGCCUCUUCGUCUUCUUCGCAGAGCUCAAACCGCUGGAAGUACGAGGUGUUCCUGAGCUUUAGAGGCGAAGACACCCGCAACACUUUCACAGAUCACCUCUUCAUUGCGUUACGCAAUGCUGGAAUUAACACGUUUAUAGACAACCAGCUCACAAGGGGGGAAAACAUACAGAGUGAACUUGACCAAGAAAUCGAAGGGUCGAGAAUCGCCGUCAUCGUCUUCUCGAAGGAGU